UAACAUAUAUGCAAAGUUGCAUAACAAAUUUCAUGAUCCAUAUAUCAAAACUCCAUAGCAUCCAUACAUCCAAAAUUCCAAAGCAUCCAAAUAUACAUAUAGUUCCAUAGCAUCCAUACAUACAUAGCUCCAUAGCAACAAUGAUACUUUGCGGGCAUUAGUAAGUAAUAUUUGGCACUAAAACAAAUGCCUUCAUGUUCAUAUCGUAGUCCAAAGAGCAUCCGCGUGGCAAUGGGUGGGUUCAUCCUCCUGGCUGUAAUCACCGUCGACGUCCUCGUCCUCCCAUCGUCGUCCUACUGCAAUGUAAAUAAAUAGCAACACCAGAAAAUCACAAAGUAAUGACAUUUUUUACAUGGUACAGAGCAAUGACUAAUACGAUCAAAUAUCAAUAAACAUCAGCAGAGUCAAGUAUGCUUGCCAAUGUCAUUAGCAAAGUACAGAGUAAUGACUGACAUAAUCAAAAUGUCAACAAACAUCACCAGAGUCAAGUAUGCAUGCAAAUGAUAUUUUCA
Molecule: long non-coding RNA, 512 nt
Filed under: Hordeum vulgare
Lineage: Eukaryota; Viridiplantae; Streptophyta; Magnoliopsida; Poales; Poaceae
Description: long non-coding RNA (HVUL_LNC000882)
Source: RNAcentral